UACGGAGGGGGCUAGCGUUGUUCGGAAUUACUGGGCGUAAAGCGCACGUAGGCGGCUUUGUAAGUUAGAGGUGAAAGCCCGGGGCUCAACUCCGGAAUUGCCUUUAAGACUGCAUCGCUAGAAUUGUGGAGAGGUAAGUGGAAUUCCGAGUGUAGAGGUGAAAUUCGUAGAUAUUCGGAAGAACACCAGUGGCGAAGGCGACUUACUGGACACAUAUUGACGCUGAGGUGCGAAAGCGUGGGGAGCAGACAGG
Molecule: ribosomal RNA, 253 nt
Filed under: uncultured bacterium
Lineage: Bacteria
Description: partial 16S ribosomal RNA
Rfam family: Bacterial small subunit ribosomal RNA
Source: RNAcentral